GAGUUUGACUCCGUGGCUACAGAACGAACGCUGGCGGCAGGCUUAACACAUGCAAGUCGAGCGCCCCGCAAGGGGAGCGGCAGACGGGUGAGUAACGCGUGGGAAUCUACCCGUUUUCUACGGAAUAACGCAGGGAAACUUGUGCUAAUACCGUAUGUGUCCUUCGGGAGAAAGAUUUAUCGGGAAAGGAUGAGCCCGCGUUGGAUUAGCUAGUUGGUGGGGUAAAGGCCUACCAAGGCGACGAUCCAUAGCUGGUCUGAGAGGAUGAUCAGCCACAUUGGGACUGAGACACGGCCCGAAACUCCUACGGGAGGCAGCAGUGGGGAAUAUUGGACAAUGGGCGCAAGCCUGAUCCAGCCAUGCCGCGUGAGUGAUGAAGGCCCUAGGGUUGUAAAGCUCUUUCACCGGAGAAGAUAAUGACGGUAUCCGGAGAAGAAGCCCCGGCUAACUUCGUG
RNAcentral lists this ribosomal RNA (455 nucleotides) under uncultured Rhizobiaceae bacterium. Its description in RNAcentral is "bacterial SSU rRNA". It matches the Rfam family "Bacterial small subunit ribosomal RNA", at positions 1 to 507 of the family's 1533-position model. The record is from RNAcentral. Lineage: Bacteria; Pseudomonadati; Pseudomonadota; Alphaproteobacteria; Hyphomicrobiales; Rhizobiaceae.